UACGUAGGUGGCAAGCGUUAUCCGGAUUUAUUGGGUGUAAAGGGCGUGUAGGCGGGAGCGCAAGUCAGAUGUGAAAACUCAGGGCUCAACCCUGAGCCUGCAUUUGUAACUGUGUUUCUUGAGUGCUGGAGAGGCAAUCGGAAUUCCGUGUGUAGCGGUGAAAUGCGUAGAUAUACGGAGGAACACCAGUGGCGAAGGCGGAUUGCUGGACAGUAACUGACGCUGAGGCGCGAAAGCGUGGGGAGCAAACAGG
This 253-nucleotide ribosomal RNA is filed under the name uncultured bacterium. Its description in RNAcentral is "partial 16S ribosomal RNA". It matches the Rfam family "Bacterial small subunit ribosomal RNA", at positions 524 to 776 of the family's 1533-position model. The record is from RNAcentral.